AGUGAACGCUGGCGGUAGGCCUAACACAUGCAAGUCGAACGGCAGCACAGUAAGAGCUUGCUCUUACGGGUGGCGAGUGGCGGACGGGUGAGGAAUACAUCGGAAUCUACUUUUUCGUGGGGGAUAACGUAGGGAAGCUUACGCUAAUACCGCAUACUACCUACGGGUGAAAGCAGGGGAUCUUCGGACCUUGCGCGAUUGAAUGAGCCGAUGUCGGAUUAGCUAGUUGGCGGGGUAAAGGCCCACCAAGGCGACGAUCCGUAGCUGGUCUGAGAGGAUGAUCAGCCACACUGGAACUGAGACACGGUCCAGACUCCUACGGGAGGCAGCAGUGGGGAAUAUUGGACAAUGGGCGCAAGCCUGAUCCAGCCAUACCGCGUGGGUGAAGAAGGCCUUCGGGUUGUAAAGCCCUUUUGUUGGGAAAGAAAAGCAGCAGGUUAAUACCCCGCUGUUCUGACGGUACCCAAAGAAUAAGCACCGGCUAACUUCGUG
This 492-nucleotide ribosomal RNA is filed under the name uncultured bacterium. RNAcentral describes it as "partial 16S ribosomal RNA". It matches the Rfam family "Bacterial small subunit ribosomal RNA", at positions 29 to 507 of the family's 1533-position model. The record is from RNAcentral.